RNAcentral lists this long non-coding RNA (580 nucleotides) under Canis lupus familiaris (dog). RNAcentral's name for it is "lncRNA (ENSCAFG00845020180.1)". Lineage: Eukaryota; Metazoa; Chordata; Mammalia; Carnivora; Canidae. The record is from RNAcentral.
GAAAUUGUGCAGGUUUGUCCCAGGGCAUUGGUUUUCCCUUUCAUAUCAUGUAUAGCUCCAUGGUGAUGCUUCCUGCUCCUGUUUCUUUCACUUCCUCUUCAUCAAGCCUCCUUUCAGAUAUAGUUCAUUCACAUUUACAUUAAGCUCUCUAAAAUUGUAGUUACUGGAUGCAUACAAAACUCUGAGGUGCCAUAUACGGCAGGGAAAAUAAAUGUUGCUGUGCUUUAUUACAAAGAACAAGGAGCAAAGACAAGGGCAUGGGAUAAAUAAGGAUAUAUACAUAUCGGCUAUUCUCCUGCAGGAACUUACCAUUUGCAAAUGUGACUCACCAAGCAAAAGGAUAUAGUGGUCAGCGUGUAGAAUACUGUGGGCAGAACUGUGGUGAGAAAUACAAAAGCAUAUCUUACUGAGGGGAGGAGCAAGAUGGCGGAAGAGUAGGGUCUCCAAAUCACCUGUCUCCACCAAACCACCUAGAAAACCUUCAAAUUAUCCUGAAAAUCUAUGAAUUCGGCCUGAGAUUUAAAGAGAGACCAGCUGGAAUGCUACAGUGAGAAGAGUUCGCGCAGCUAUCAAGGUAGGA